UACGUAGGCAGCAAGCGUUGUUCGGAGUUACUGGGCGUAAAGAGUGUGUAGGCGGUUCUCUAAGUUCGGUGUGAAAUCUCCCGGCUCAACUGGGAGGGUGCGCCGAAAACUGGAAGGCUAGAGUACUGGAUGGGUAAGUGGAAUUCCUGGUGUAGCGGUGAAAUGCGUAGAUAUCAGGAGGAACACCUGUGGUGUAGACGGCUUACUGGACAGUAACUGACGCUGAGACACGAAAGCGUGGGUAGCAAACAGG
This 253-nucleotide ribosomal RNA is filed under the name uncultured bacterium. RNAcentral describes it as "partial 16S ribosomal RNA". It matches the Rfam family "Bacterial small subunit ribosomal RNA", at positions 524 to 776 of the family's 1533-position model. The record is from RNAcentral.